UCCCCCAGGAAAUUCCUGUUUUCAUGCCC
Molecule: non-coding RNA, 29 nt
Filed under: Mus musculus (house mouse)
Lineage: Eukaryota; Metazoa; Chordata; Mammalia; Rodentia; Muridae
Source: RNAcentral